GACGAACGCUGGCGGCGUGCUUAACACAUGCAAGUCGAACGGAAAGGCCCAGCUUGCUGGGUGCUCGAGUGGCGAACGGGUGAGUAACACGUGGGUGAUCUGCCCCUAACUUCGGGAUAAGCUUGGGAAACUGGGUCUAAUACCGGAUAGGACAAUCGUUUAGUGUCGGUUGUGGAAAGUUUUUUCGGUUAGGGAUGAGCCCGCGGCCUAUCAGCUUGUUGGUGGGGUAAUGGCCUACCAAGGCGUCGACGGGUAGCCGGCCUGAGAGGGUGGACGGCCACAUUGGGACUGAGAUACGGCCCAGACUCCUACGGGAGGCAGCAGUGGGGAAUAUUGGACAAUGGGCGCAAGCCUGAUGCAGCGACGCCGCGUGGGGGAUGACGGCCUUCGGGUUGUAAACCUCUUUCGACAGGGACGAAGCUUUGGUGACGGCACCUGUAUAAGAAGCACCGGCUAACUACGUG
Molecule: ribosomal RNA, 464 nt
Filed under: uncultured bacterium
Lineage: Bacteria
Description: partial 16S ribosomal RNA
Rfam family: Bacterial small subunit ribosomal RNA
Source: RNAcentral